CUGUCAACCUACUUUUGCACUAAAAUGGUUUAAUAUUUGUUUGUUUUUUAAUUGUGGAAAGAAGUUUCACCGAUCAAUAAUUAUUUAGUAAAACACUAUUUUGGCCAUGGAAAGCUGAUAAAUUCUGAACAGAUACCCAAAUUCUAAGUAGGUUGGUCAGAUUUAUUACCUACUUGGACAAAAUAGACUCGUGAGACGUUAACAAUAAGACAGGAUAUGAUUAAAUGCCUGAGAAGUGGUAUAGACCAGUUGUUCCCGUGGAAGAGGCACUGGUAGCAUUGCAUGAGAAAGUAACGGGAUCUCCUGGAACUACUGGUAUAAUCAGAAUGGAAGAAGAACUCAGAAAAGAGAGAGAGCAGCAUGGAACCAGAGGAUUUAAGAAAGACAUCAAAAAAAGGCAACUAAACCAAGUUAUUUUUCAGGACAGAAUUCUGGAGAAGUCCCUACAUCUCUCCUCAUUCCGAAUUAAAACCCAGGAGGUGCUUCUCUGGGAAAAGAAAAGAAGGAAUGCCUACAGCUGUGUUUGCUGCCAAAGGCCUUAAUGAAAGAUUGCAGGAUUGAACAGAUAAAUAAAUGUGGUGAUGUUGAUGGAAGCCAGAGUUUUCACUGUGAUAAAACGGAAUAUGGAAGGAGGGAAGACAAAGAAAACCUUACAGGGUUAGAUUGGAAUUGGAGAUAUCAGUAGGAACAGGUAUUUCCUGAGUCUGUUGAAAGUGCAAGACACAGUGACACCUCAGGAAUAACGAGCAUACUUAAAGCCUAGAUGUUGGUUUCUAAAUGUCAUUCUGUACUAAAAGGAAGCAGGGCAAAUUGAAGAUAUGGCUCAGUCCAGGACUGGGACAGGGAAGAUAUAAGAUGAGCCUGGAACAUCUUAUUGUCUAGGAAGUGCUCAAAAAAUAAAAAUGGAGGCAUGUUAAAAGGACAGAGGAGCCAGCUUGAAGGGACUCCCAUUGUAUGCAUAUGGGACAAUUUCAGCAUCCAGCAUUAAGAAGCAUAAUGGACUAUAACACAGUGAAUGAAAUGGGAAUCCAUGAAUGCAUACUGAUAAAUAAUAGGUAAACAAACAAAUAAAUGAAGAAGAAAGGAAGGCUCUUCCUAACUGAUGCCAACUGAUAAAUGUGGAGAGAAUGGUGAAUCUGGGAAAACACUAUUUGCAACCAUCACAGAACAGAUUGUUUUAGGAAAGAUUUAUCAAUGGAGACCAAAUCUAGGGAGAAAAGUUUGGUGAGAAACGAAUAUUUGCAUCGUUCCAAACUGUUUCCACACGGAUUGCUUAUUCAUUGCAAGGGGAAAAUAGUUAUUCCACAGUGGAGAAAUUGGACAACACUUUACCUGGUGAUAAAAAUUAACAUCACUAACGUGUGGCAGAUGGACAAGGUGCCUUCAGAUAUGACACCCUAAGAAGGAUGCAUCAUGUAUGUGAUAUUCCAACUGGGCAUAUAUUACCUGAAUGGAUUUAAGAGGAAAUAUCAGAUGUGACAAGUAAAUGCAAUAAAUAACCAUGAACUGCUGGAUCUCACACUGGAGAGAAACACUGCUAUAAAGGGCAUAACGGGGCAUUUAAUAAAAUUAGAAUAUAAGCUGUAGAUUAGACAAGCAUUGCACUAUUGUUUAACUUUGUGAAUU
Equus caballus (horse) is the source of this 1626-nucleotide long non-coding RNA. NCBI's taxonomy places the organism in Eukaryota, Metazoa, Chordata, Mammalia, Perissodactyla, Equidae. The record is from Ensembl.